RNAcentral lists this ribosomal RNA (376 nucleotides) under uncultured Alphaproteobacteria bacterium. RNAcentral's name for it is "bacterial SSU rRNA". It matches the Rfam family "Bacterial small subunit ribosomal RNA", at positions 9 to 412 of the family's 1533-position model. The record is from RNAcentral. Lineage: Bacteria; Pseudomonadati; Pseudomonadota; Alphaproteobacteria.
GAGUUUGAUCCUGGCUCAGAGCGAACGCUGGCGGCAGGCUUAACACAUGCAAGUCGAGCGGGCGUAGCAAUACGUCAGCGGCAGACGGGUGAGUAACGCGUGGGAACGUACCUUUUGGUUCGGAACAACCCAGGGAAACUUGGGCUAAUACCGGAUAAGCCCUUACGGGGAAAGAUUUAUCGCCGAAAGAUCGGGCCCGCGUCUGAUUAGCUAGUUGGUGAGGUAAUGGCUCACCAAGGCGACGAUCAGUAGCUGGUCUGAGAGGAUGAUCAGCCACAUUGGGACUGAGACACGGCCCAAACUCCUACGGGAGGCAGCAGUGGGAAUAUGGACAAUGGGCGCAAGCCUGAUCCAGCCAUGCCGCGUGAGUGAUGAA